This is a long non-coding RNA of Xiphophorus hellerii (green swordtail), 702 nucleotides long. RefSeq lists it as uncharacterized. The transcript is spliced from 2 exons. Lineage: Eukaryota; Metazoa; Chordata; Actinopteri; Cyprinodontiformes; Poeciliidae. The record is from RefSeq and is a predicted model, not a curated record.
AGUAAUUGGACUGCAGAUCGGGUUUUUUCAUAGAUAUAAAUACGAGUUUUUUUCUAACAUACUCUCAUUUUUAUUAUAGUACAUUUUUGUGACCACAUGGGGGCGCCAGAAACUCUGCUGACCAAGCAGUGACAGACAAGAAAUUAAUGGAAAGCAUUGGACAUACACCACCACCUUGGCGUUGAUAGGGCUAAUUUAGAUAGAAUGGUCAUGUUGGGCCUGGUAAUGAACCCUACCAGAGGCUGAACUUGGAGCUGAGACCAGAAAACAUCAGGAACGGAUGUAAAAUAAGUCCGAUCUUCUGUCUGCUCUGAGUCUUCAUCACCUCCAUCCCCCAUGAGGCUGCAGAAGCUCCAUCCUUCACUCUCAGCUGCAGCAACAGCAGCAGCAGCUCCUGCUAAAUGUGAGAUAAUCUCCUGGGCUUUAGCUGCAGCAAGAAUCCACCUUAACGUCUCCUAAGCUCUUACUGUCCUUGACUUGGACGGCAGUAAACAGCUGAAGUUGGAGAUAAAAGCUUUUCCCACUUGGUAUCUCAAGUUUCAAUGAGGCCAAUAAAAUGUAUCAACAUUUUACCAUAUCCUUAUUCAGGAUUUUUUUUUUAAGUGUUGAUCUUCAGCUUUGACAGGCAAAUGAUAUUUCUUUUGAGUUUUUAUUAAUUUCUUCUCCCAACAUGCAAAAUAAAACAAAUAUCAUCAACUUAAA